RNAcentral lists this ribosomal RNA (735 nucleotides) under Pseudomonas oryzihabitans. Its description in RNAcentral is "bacterial SSU rRNA". It matches the Rfam family "Bacterial small subunit ribosomal RNA", at positions 28 to 758 of the family's 1533-position model. Lineage: Bacteria; Pseudomonadati; Pseudomonadota; Gammaproteobacteria; Pseudomonadales; Pseudomonadaceae. The record is from RNAcentral.
AUUGAACGCUGGCGGCAGGCCUAACACAUGCAAGUCGAGCGGAUGAGAGGAGCUUGCUCCUCGAUUCAGCGGCGGACGGGUGAGUAAUGCCUAGGAAUCUGCCUAGUAGUGGGGGACAACGUUUCGAAAGGAACGCUAAUACCGCAUACGUCCUACGGGAGAAAGUGGGGGAUCUUCGGACCUCACGCUAUUAGAUGAGCCUAGGUCGGAUUAGCUAGUUGGUAGGGUAAAGGCCUACCAAGGCGACGAUCCGUAACUGGUCUGAGAGGAUGAUCAGUCACACUGGAACUGAGACACGGUCCAGACUCCUACGGGAGGCAGCAGUGGGGAAUAUUGGACAAUGGGCGAAAGCCUGAUCCAGCCAUGCCGCGUGUGUGAAGAAGGCCUUCGGGUCGUAAAGCACUUUAAGUUGGGAGGAAGGGCUCAUAGCGAAUACCUGUGAGUUUUGACGUUACCAACAGAAUAAGCACCGGCUAACUUCGUGCCAGCAGCCGCGGUAAUACGAAGGGUGCAAGCGUUAAUCGGAAUUACUGGGCGUAAAGCGCGCGUAGGUGGCUUGAUAAGUUGGAUGUGAAAUCCCCGGGCUCAACCUGGGAACUGCAUCCAAAACUGUCUGGCUAGAGUGCGGUAGAGGGUAGUGGAAUUUCCAGUGUAGCGGUGAAAUGCGUAGAUAUUGGAAGGAACACCAGUGGCGAAGGCGACUACCUGGACUGACACUGACACUGAGGUGCGAAA